This 22-nucleotide microRNA is filed under the name Caenorhabditis remanei. RNAcentral describes it as "crm-miR-250-5p". Its record names the gene crm-miR-250-5p. The record is from miRBase by way of RNAcentral. Lineage: Eukaryota; Metazoa; Nematoda; Chromadorea; Rhabditida; Rhabditidae.
CCUUCAGUUGACUCGUGAUCCG